UACGUUCCCGGGCCUUGUACACACCGCCCGUCACGUCACGAAAGUCAGCAACACCCGAAGCCGGUGGCCUAACCCGUAAGGGAGGGAGCCGUCGAAGGUGGGGUCGGCGAUUGGGACG
RNAcentral lists this ribosomal RNA (118 nucleotides) under uncultured bacterium. RNAcentral describes it as "partial 16S ribosomal RNA". It matches the Rfam family "Bacterial small subunit ribosomal RNA", at positions 1367 to 1482 of the family's 1533-position model. The record is from RNAcentral.